RNAcentral lists this ribosomal RNA (205 nucleotides) under uncultured bacterium. Its description in RNAcentral is "partial 16S ribosomal RNA". It matches the Rfam family "Bacterial small subunit ribosomal RNA", at positions 1296 to 1500 of the family's 1533-position model. The record is from RNAcentral.
GACUGUAGUCUGCAACCCGACUACACGAAGCUGGAAUCGCUAGUAAUCGCGGAUCAGAAUGCCGCGGUGAAUACGUUCCCGGGUCUUGUACACACCGCCCGUCACACCAUGGGAGUCAGUAACGCCCGAAGUCAGUGACCUAACCGAAAGGGAGGAGCUGCCGAAGGCGGGACGGAUGACUGGGGUGAAGUCGUAACAAGGUAUC